Molecule: ribosomal RNA, 580 nt
Filed under: Rahnella sp.
Lineage: Bacteria; Pseudomonadati; Pseudomonadota; Gammaproteobacteria; Enterobacterales; Yersiniaceae
Description: bacterial SSU rRNA
Rfam family: Bacterial small subunit ribosomal RNA
Source: RNAcentral
GCGGACGGGUGAGUAAUGUCUGGGAAACUGCCUGAUGGAGGGGGAUAACUACUGGAAACGGUAGCUAAUACCGCAUGACCUCGCAAGAGCAAAGUGGGGGACCUUCGGGCCUCACGCCAUCGGAUGUGCCCAGAUGGGAUUAGCUAGUAGGUGGGGUAAUGGCUCACCUAGGCGACGAUCCCUAGCUGGUCUGAGAGGAUGACCAGCCACACUGGAACUGAGACACGGUCCAGACUCCUACGGGAGGCAGCAGUGGGGAAUAUUGCACAAUGGGCGCAAGCCUGAUGCAGCCAUGCCGCGUGUGUGAAGAAGGCCUUAGGGUUGUAAAGCACUUUCAGCGAGGAGGAAGGGUUCAGUGUUAAUAGCACUGUUCAUUGACGUUACUCGCAGAAGAAGCACCGGCUAACUCCGUGCCAGCAGCCGCGGUAAUACGGAGGGUGCAAGCGUUAAUCGGAAUUACUGGGCGUAAAGCGCACGCAGGCGGUUUGUUAAGUCAGAUGUGAAAUCCCCGAGCUUAACUUGGGAACUGCAUUUGAAACUGGCAAGCUAGAGUCUUGUAGAGGGGGGUAGAAUUCCAGGU